UACGGGGGGGGCAAGCGUUGUUCGGAAUUACUGGGCGUAAAGGGCUCGUAGGUGGCCAACUAAGUCAGACGUGAAAUCCCUCAGCUUAACUGGGGAACUGCGUCUGAUACUGGAUGGCUUGAGUUUGGGAGGGGGAUGCGGAAUUCCAGGUGUAGCGGUGAAAUGCGUAGAUAUCUGGAGGAACACCGGUGGCGAAGGCGGCAUCCUGGACCGGCAUUGACGCUGAGGCGCGAAAGCCAGGGGAGCAAACGGG
This 253-nucleotide ribosomal RNA is filed under the name uncultured bacterium. RNAcentral describes it as "partial 16S ribosomal RNA". It matches the Rfam family "Bacterial small subunit ribosomal RNA", at positions 524 to 776 of the family's 1533-position model. The record is from RNAcentral.